AUGAUCAGAAGGAUUCCAAUACAUAACACCACCUCCAAAGUACUGAUUAUAGUCCACCCCGGAAACAGCAUGUACCUCUAACUCUUCUUCAGACAUCCAGUGAUAAUCAUGGUCUUCACCCACUUCAUGUGAAUUUGCAAGAUCGGAGAAGUCCAUUAAGUCACCAGAAUACACCCUUUCAUCCUCAGUACUCACCACAUUGCAGUGCAUGCUUUGAGCUGCUAUAUCUUGCUGGAAAGACGUUCUCCUAGAUAUAAACCCA
Molecule: unclassified non-coding RNA, 262 nt
Filed under: Hevea brasiliensis (rubber tree)
Lineage: Eukaryota; Viridiplantae; Streptophyta; Magnoliopsida; Malpighiales; Euphorbiaceae
Source: RNAcentral